GAUCCACAUAAGAGAGUUGGUUUGCAAGUAUGAAUAGAGGAUAGACAUGGGUCUUUGGCCCUUGCUACCUUCUUGCUGUCUUCUCUUUAGCUUCUUGUCCAAACCAAUGCUUCCCAUAGAGAAGCAUUGGAGAUGAGAAGCAUAUGCACAGCCAAUUCUGUGUUCCUCAAAUCAAAUGUUUCUAAUAGAGAAGCAUUGAAUCCAAUGUUUCUCUAUGAAAAGCAUCAGAGGACUUUCUUCCGCAAGCAAUGCAUGAAGACAAAGAACAUCACAGAACCAAGUGUGACCCGGUUGUAAGAGUGGAAGGAAGACAGCCAAUAGAGAAUGUUUAUCCCUGAAAUGUAAACAUACCCAAGACGGCAAUGCUUUACAUUGCAGGACCAAAAACAGAGCCAAUGCACCGAUCUAUUUUUUUUAAAUGAAGUCGCCUGGGGGCCUAUAGUGGCCAUUUACUUACUUUUACUCGUAGACAACAGGUUUUUGGCUAUUAUGGCCUAUAGUUUGUAAUUUCCUGUUACAUUUCCAACAAUUCAAACUUCAGUGUAUGGAAAUUUGGGUUAGCGAUAAGGACUAGAGUAGUAGUUAUGGGAAUUAGUUUGUAAUACAGGGCGCAGCAGAACCGAUUAUGCAGUUUUGCAGGGUCAAUGCUUGGGCUGUGGUGGGGGGAGGCAGGUGCACCUGGUCUCAUUGUGUUCUGUCCGUCACCCUAUUUUAGUAGCCAAUAUGGUUGUGACCGGAGUACGUCGAGGCUUUGCUGUGCAGGCAAAUUUAAAAAACAGCCCGCCUGUGAUCGCAACGCAAAGAGCUUUUCGGCGACGGUUCAACAUUCUGUGACACAACGCCGUUCCUAAUGCAAACACAAUUCGGUCAUGGGUUAGGCGGUUGGAGGAAACUGGUACCACUCUUAGAAGAGGUACACAUGGCCGACGCAGGUCCAUAGGAACACCGGAAAAUGUGCAGCUGGUGUGAGUAGCAGUUGAGCAGUCGCCAGGACGUUCUGCUCGAAUGUAUGCUGUUGCUUUGGGAAUGUCAGACCGCAGUCUGAGGAGGAUUCUUCAUUUAGAUUUGCAGUUUCCUCUCUACAAGAUGAUGUUGGCAAAUGCUUGCACAGAUCCCUCCCGCAGCAGCUUUCUUCAGUAGCGACGAGGCACAUUUUUAUCUCAGUGGAGCUGUGAAUAAGCAAAAUUUCCACUACUGGGCUCAAAAUAACCCCCGAAUGAUUCAUGAAAGAUAGCUACAUUCCCCUAAACUAACAGUGUGGUGUGCCGUAUCACAAUUCACAGUGAUAGGCCCGUACGUUUUUGAGGAGGAAGCCGUGACCGUGACCGUGAAUUCUGAACGUUAUGUCUCAAUGUUGGAAAAUUUUCUGCAGCCCAGAAUGGAAGAGAUUGUUGAAGAGGAAUUUGAGGGAGUUCUGGAUCCAACAAGAUGGGGCUACAGCUGACACAGCCCGAAAUUCACUCAAUGUUUUGAAAGAAAUGUUACCCGGACGUCUGGUCUCUCUGAGGGGUGAUGUUGGGUGGCUGGCGCGGUUACCAGAUUUGAGCAUUUGCGAUUUUUUUUUUCUUUGGGGGUAUCUGAAGGAAAAAAAGUGUUGAAACAUCGCCCUCACACCCUACCAGAGCUAAGGGAGCAGAUUAUUGAAGAAGUUAACACCAUACCCUGCGAUAUGUGUGAACGAGCUGUACAAAACUUCAGAGAUCGGCUCCAACAGUGUGUUGCUGCUAAUGACCGCCUUCUCCAGGACAUUAUUAUCAAAAUUUAAUGACUAUAACAUGAUACUUACUGCUGAAUUCGAAAAUAAAAACAGUUUUUCUCUAUAUAUCUCAGUUAAAUUUUUAUAAUGCCUCAAAACUGCUUAAUCGGUUCUGCUGCACCCUGUAUGUGAUUAGACUGUGUUAUGGUUAGGUUAUAAAUAAGAAUUAGGCUUCUAAAAAGAUUAUAAUUUAUGAAUUGUAAUAGUUUGUGAUUAGAAUUAGCGGUUUUAUGGCAGUUUAGUUUAAAGUAUAUGACCAGACUAAUGAGUGACUCCCCAUUCAUAAAACUGGCUUGAAAAGAAGCUUACCUUUUUCAUCAGCUGACCGCUCUCAGCCAAUCAGCGGUGCCCCUGCCUGGCAGCACUCUCUGAAACAGAGAUUUCGGAAGCAGAAUGCUACCUGGGGGACCUGAGAAUGUGCGCUGGAGGCUCAUUUUGAGGUUAAACCGUUUAACCCCUGAAGGUAAGAACGCGCCUAGGAGCCUCCAGACACCAUGACAACUUAAUUUAGAUGAAGUUGUUAUGGUGCCUAAAUUGUCCCUUUAUGACUAGAAAUAAGUGGUAAAAUAAAAGUUACAGGAAUUGAUGCUUGUGUUUACGAUUAUGUUUUAAAUAAAUGUAAAUCUAAGCUUUGGGCAGGGACCUCUUCUCCUACUCAGUACGUCAAUCAUGUUUUGUUAGACUUUUGUGUUUAUUUUGUACAGCGUUACAGAUUAUGUUAGCACUAGAUGAAUAAUUGUAAUUUUAUAUUAUGGGUUAUGGGAGUUAAGAUCAGAUAAAGCGGGGUUGAAAUCAUGCAGUGCACCUCAUUGAGUAUAAGGUAGCUUUAUUCUACAACUGACAUCAUUCUCAGCCAGAAAGAGUAUAUCAGCCCAAGGCAUCAGGAGGGCAUGCGAGAUACUGUUUCAAUACCGUACCCCUACCCAAAAUAUGCUUUUAAAUCAUUACUCAUCUGAUGCAUGCAAUAUUUCAAACAGGUGCAGACAAAAAACAAAACUGUCUAUUUCCAAAAAUUGACAACAGAAUUGCAAAAGUUAAAGUACCGUGUUUCCCCGAAAAUACACCCUACCCCGAAAAUAAGCCCUAGCCGGAUUAUUGGGGUGGGCUGCAAUAUAAGCCCUACCCCGAAAAUAAGACCUAGGCAUUGCACCUUUGCGGCCCGGCGAAACUUCCUUCUUCUACCGUAUGAGGAGGAGCGUUGCGGGCCGCAGCAUCACGCAACGUGAUGACGACCUUUCGUAGCGCCGUCAGUCUGCCUUCACGGAUCUUCAGCGGAAGGAUCCAUUUCCGGGCGGUGAGGCACCCAGUGGUCGGACUCGGCAAGGAAUCUUUGAAAUGUGAGUA
This 3100-nucleotide long non-coding RNA is filed under the name Pelobates cultripes (western spadefoot toad). Lineage: Eukaryota; Metazoa; Chordata; Amphibia; Anura; Pelobatidae. The record is from RNAcentral.